This 810-nucleotide ribosomal RNA is filed under the name Calothrix sp. MBDU901. Its description in RNAcentral is "bacterial SSU rRNA". It matches the Rfam family "Bacterial small subunit ribosomal RNA", at positions 97 to 963 of the family's 1533-position model. The record is from RNAcentral. Lineage: Bacteria; Bacillati; Cyanobacteriota; Cyanophyceae; Nostocales; Calotrichaceae.
GGCGGACGGGUGAGUAAACGUUAGAAUCUCUCUUUAGGUCGGGAACAACCCCUGGAAACGGCUGCUAAUACCGGAUAUCCCCACAGGAGAAAGAAUUUUUGCCCAAAGAUGAGCUCCCCUCUGAUUAGCUUGUAGGUGUGGUAAGAGCCCCACUAGGCGACGAUCAUUAACUGGUCUGAAAAGACGAUCACCCCCCCUGGGACUGAAACACCGCCCCCACUCCUCCGGGAGGCCGCAGUGGGGAAUUUUCCGCAAUGGGGGAAAACCUGACGGAACACUCCCCCGUGGGGGAGGAAGGCUCUUGGGUUGUAAACCUCUUUUCUCAGGGAAAAAUACAAUGACGGUACUUGAAGAAUAAGCCUCGGCUAACUCCGUGCCAGCAGCCGCGGUAAUACGGAGGAUGCAAGCGUUAUCCGGAAUGAUUGGGCGUAAAGCGUCCGCAGGUGGCAAUGAAAGUCUGCUGAUAAAGAGUGGGGCUCAACCUCAUAAAAGCGGUGAAAACUACAUAGCUAGAGUACGUUCGGGGCAGAGGGAAUUCCUGGUGUAGCGGUGAAUGCGUAGAUAUCAGGAAAACCCCGGUGGCAAAGCGCUCUUUAGGCCUGUACUGACCUGAGGGACAAACCUAGGGGAGCAAUGGUAUUAAACCCCCAGUAGUCCUAGCCGAAACGAUGGAUACUAGGCGUGGCUUGUAUUACCCGAGCCGUGCCGGAUCAACGCGUUAAGUCCCCGCCGGGGGAGACGCACCAAGUGUGAACUCAAGGAUUGAGGGGGCCCACACAGCGGGGAGUUGGGGUUUAUUCGAUCCACGCG